GUGAAUCAUCGAAUCUUUGAACGCAAAUUGCACUUUCUGGUAUUCCGGAAAGUAUGCCUGUUUGAGGGUCAGUUAAAUAAAAAUCGUCGUUGUUGCUGUCUUUCGUGGUGACGCGUCGGAGUUGAGACGUCUUCCAUUCGCUUAAGCUUCUUAAAAUUUUUGCAUGAUUUUAGCACGUAUUUAAUUUGUUUACGUACGUUUGAGAUAUCGACUGCUUAUUAGGUUUGGUUUUCCUCAUGACCCGCGCCUAUAAUUUUUCAUUAAUUGACAUCAAAUCAGGUAAGAAUACCCG
RNAcentral lists this unclassified non-coding RNA (292 nucleotides) under Glomus sp. RNAcentral describes it as "partial contains 5.8S ribosomal RNA, internal transcribed spacer 2, and large subunit ribosomal RNA". The stretch from base 1 to 71 matches the Rfam family "5.8S ribosomal RNA", at positions 84 to 154 of the family's 154-position model. The record is from RNAcentral. Lineage: Eukaryota; Fungi; Glomeromycota; Glomeromycetes; Glomerales; Glomeraceae.